This 1010-nucleotide ribosomal RNA is filed under the name uncultured Alteromonas sp. Its description in RNAcentral is "bacterial SSU rRNA". It matches the Rfam family "Bacterial small subunit ribosomal RNA", at positions 67 to 1074 of the family's 1533-position model. Lineage: Bacteria; Pseudomonadati; Pseudomonadota; Gammaproteobacteria; Alteromonadales; Alteromonadaceae. The record is from RNAcentral.
CGGUAACAUUUCUAGCUUGCUAGAAGAUGACGAGUGGCGGACGGGUGAGUAAUGCUUGGGAACUUGCCUUUGCGAGGGGGAUAACAGUUGGAAACGACUGCUAAUACCGCAUAAUGUCUUCGGACCAAACGGGGCUUCGGCUCCGGCGCAAAGAGAGGCCCAAGUGAGAUUAGCUAGUUGGUAAGGUAACGGCUUACCAAGGCGACGAUCUCUAGCUGUUCUGAGAGGAAGAUCAGCCACACUGGGACUGAGACACGGCCCAGACUCCCACGGGAGGCAGCAGUGGGGAAUAUUGCACAAUGGGGGAAACCCUGAUGCAGCCAUGCCGCGUGUGUGAAGAAGGCCUUCGGGUUGUAAAGCACUUUCAGUUGUGAGGAAAAGUUAGUAGUUAAUACCUGCUAGCCGUGACGUUAACAACAGAAGAAGCACCGGCUAACUCCGUGCCAGCAGCCGCGGUAAUACGGAGGGUGCGAGCGUUAAUCGGAAUUACUGGGCGUAAAGCGCACGCAGGCGGUUUGUUAAGCUAGAUGUGAAAGCCCCGGGCUCAACCUGGGAUGGUCAUUUAGAACUGGCAGACUAGAGUCUUGGAGAGGGGAGUGGAAUUCCAGGUGUAGCGGUGAAAUGCGUAGAUAUCUGGAGGAACAUCAGUGGCGAAGGCGACUCCCUGGCCAAAGACUGACGCUCAUGUGCGAAAGUGUGGGUAGCGAACAGGAUUAGAUACCCUGGUAGUCCACACCGUAAACGCUGUCUACUAGCUGUGUGUGCCUUUAAGGCGUGCGUAGCGAAGCUAACGCGCUAAGUAGACCGCCUGGGGAGUACGGCCGCAAGGUUAAAACUCAAAUGAAUUGACGGGGGCCCGCACAAGCGGUGGAGCAUGUGGUUUAAUUCGAUGCAACGCGAAGAACCUUACCUACACUUGACAUGCUGAGAAGUUACUAGAGAUAGUUUCGUGCCUUCGGGAACUCAGACACAGGUGCUGCAUGGCUGUCGUCAGCUCGUGUCGUGAGAUG